Molecule: ribosomal RNA, 301 nt
Filed under: uncultured bacterium
Lineage: Bacteria
Description: partial 16S ribosomal RNA
Rfam family: Bacterial small subunit ribosomal RNA
Source: RNAcentral
CAGUCGCCGCGGUAAUACGAAGGGUGCAAGCGUUACUCGGAAUUACUGGGUGUAAAGCGUGCGUAGGUGGUUGUUUAAGUCUGCUGUGAAAGCCCUGGGCUCAACCUGGGAAUUGCAGUGGAUACUGGGCGACUAGAGUAAGGUAGAGGAUAGUGGAAUUUCCGGUGUAGCAGUGAAAUGCGUAGAGAUCGGAAGGAACAUCUGUGGCGAAGGCGACUAUCUGGGCCAUUACUGACACUGAGGCACGAAAGCGUGGGGAGCAAACAGGAUUAGAUACCCCCGUAGUCCCUGUCUCUUAUAU